CCUACGGGGAGCAGCAGUGAGGAAUAUUGGUCAAUGGGAGGAAUCCUGAACCAGCCAUGCCGCGUGCAGGACGACGGCUCUACGAGUUGUAAACUGCUUUUGUACCGGGGUAAAAUGCCUUACGUGUAGGGUUUUGAAAGUACGGUACGAAUAAGGAUCGGCUAACUCCGUGCCAGCAGCCGCGGUAAUACGGAGGAUCCGAGCGUUAUCCGGAUUCAUUGGGUUUAAAGGGUGCGUAGGUUGUUUUAUAAGUUAGAGGUGAAAUGUCCGAGCUCAACUCGGGAACUGCCUCUAAUACUGUUGAUCUAGAGAGUAGAUGCGGUAGGCGGAAUGUAUGGUGUAGCGGUGAAAUGCUUAGAGAUCAUACAGAACACCGAUUGCGAAGGCAGCUUACCAAUCUAUAUCUGACGUUGAGGCACGAAAGCGUGGGGAGCAAACAGGAUUAGAUACCCGUGUAGUC
RNAcentral lists this ribosomal RNA (460 nucleotides) under uncultured bacterium. Its description in RNAcentral is "partial 16S ribosomal RNA". It matches the Rfam family "Bacterial small subunit ribosomal RNA", at positions 338 to 795 of the family's 1533-position model. The record is from RNAcentral.